CCCUUGAAAUACCACCCUGUUGUUAUUGAGGUUCUAACUUGGUCCAGUAAUCCUGGAUGAGGACAGUGUAUGAUGGGUAGUUUGACUGGGGCGGUCUCCUCCCAAAGAGUAACGGAGGAGCACAAAGGUACCCUCGGUACGGUCGGACAUCGUACCAAGAGUGUAAAGGCAAAAGGGUGCUUGACUGCGAGAGUGACGGCUCGAGCAGGAACGAAAGUUGGUCUUAGUGAUCCGGUGGUUCUGAAUGGAAGGGCCAUCGCUCAACGGAUAAAAGGUACUCCGGGGAUAACAGGCUGAUACCGCCCAAGAGUUCAUAUCGACGGCGGUGUUUGGCACCUCGAUGUCGGCUCAUCACAUCCUGGGGCUGAAGCAGGUCCCAAGGGUAUGGCUGUUCGCCAUUUAAAGUGGUACGCGAGCUGGGUUUAGAACGUCGUGAGACAGUUCGGUCCCUAUCUGCCGUGGGCGUAGGAAAAUUGAGAGGAGCUGCUCCUAGUACGAGAGGACCGGAGUGGACGAACCUCUGGUGCACCGGUUGUCACGCCAGUGGCAUGGCCGGGUAGCUAAGUUCGGACGGGAUAACCGCUGAAAGCAUCUAAGCGGGAAGCCUCCCUCAAGAUGAGUUUUCCCAUGAAGCCCGUUGAAGACUACGACGUUGAUAGGCAAGGUGUGGAAGCGCAGUAAUGCGUGAAGCUAACUUGUACUAAUUGGCUGAUUGUCUUGACCAUAUAAUCUGAG
Molecule: ribosomal RNA, 735 nt
Filed under: Legionella pneumophila
Lineage: Bacteria; Pseudomonadati; Pseudomonadota; Gammaproteobacteria; Legionellales; Legionellaceae
Also listed under: 1 other name
Description: partial 23S ribosomal RNA
Rfam family: Bacterial large subunit ribosomal RNA
Source: RNAcentral